This 118-nucleotide ribosomal RNA is filed under the name Periophthalmus magnuspinnatus. Lineage: Eukaryota; Metazoa; Chordata; Actinopteri; Gobiiformes; Gobiidae. The record is from RNAcentral.
AGUCAUAGCCAAACCUCCUUGCCAAAGCCUGAUCUCAUUAGAUUGCAGAAGCAAAGUGGAUCUGGGGCUGGUUAAUGCUUGGAUGGGAGACCACUCGGAAUACAAGGUGCUACAGUGG